UACGUAGGGUGCAAGCGUUGUCCGGAAUUAUUGGGCGUAAAGAGCUCGUAGGCGGCUUGUCGCGUCGGCUGUGAAAACCUGGGGCUCAACUCCGGGCCUGCAGCCGAUACGGGCAAGCUAGAAUUCGGUAGGGGAGACUGGAAUUCCUGGUGUAGCGGUGAAAUGCGCAGAUAUCAAGUGGAACACCAGUGGCGAAGGCGAGUCCCUGGACAUUUCCUGACACUGAGGCACGAAAGCUAGGGGAGCAAACAGG
Molecule: ribosomal RNA, 253 nt
Filed under: uncultured bacterium
Lineage: Bacteria
Description: partial 16S ribosomal RNA
Rfam family: Bacterial small subunit ribosomal RNA
Source: RNAcentral